This 253-nucleotide ribosomal RNA is filed under the name uncultured bacterium. Its description in RNAcentral is "partial 16S ribosomal RNA". It matches the Rfam family "Bacterial small subunit ribosomal RNA", at positions 524 to 776 of the family's 1533-position model. The record is from RNAcentral.
UACAGAGGGUGCAAACGUUGCUCGGAAUUAUUGGGCGUAAAGCGCACGUAGGUGGCCAUGUAAGUCAGGAGUGAAAGCCCUCGGCUUAACCGGGGAAGUGCUUUUGAAACUGCAUGGCUUGAAUACUGGAGAGGGUCGCGGAAUUCCCGGUGUAGAGGUGAAAUUCGUAGAUAUCGGGAGGAACACCAGUGGCGAAGGCGGCGACCUGGACAGAUAUUGACACUGAGGUGCGAAAGCGUGGGGAGCAAACAGG